RNAcentral lists this ribosomal RNA (253 nucleotides) under uncultured bacterium. RNAcentral's name for it is "partial 16S ribosomal RNA". It matches the Rfam family "Bacterial small subunit ribosomal RNA", at positions 524 to 776 of the family's 1533-position model. The record is from RNAcentral.
UACGUAGGUGACAAGCGUUGUCCGGAAUUACUGGGCGUAAAGGGCGCGUAGGCGGCCUGUUAAGUCGAACGUGAAAUCCCCGGGCUCAACCCGGGAACUGCGUCCGAUACUGGCAGGCUUGAAUCCGGGAGAGGGAUGCGGAAUUCCAGGUGUAGCGGUGAAAUGCGUAGAUAUCUGGAGGAACACCGGUGGCGAAGGCGGCAUCCUGGACCGGCAUUGGCGCUGAGGCGCGAAAGCCAGGGGAGCAAACGGG